UACGAAGGGUGCAAACGUUGCUCGGAAUUAUUGGGCGUAAAGCGCACGUAGGCGGCUUGGCAAGUCGGAUGUGAAAUCCCUCGGCUUAACCGGGGAACUGCGUCUGAUACUGGAUGGCUUGAAUCCGGGAGAGGGAUGCGGAAUUCCAGGUGUAGCGGUGAAAUGCGUAGAUAUCUGGAGGAACACCGGUGGCGAAGGCGGCAUCCUGGACCGAGAUUGACGCUGAGGCGCGAAAGCCAGGGGAGCAAACGGG
This 253-nucleotide ribosomal RNA is filed under the name uncultured bacterium. RNAcentral's name for it is "partial 16S ribosomal RNA". It matches the Rfam family "Bacterial small subunit ribosomal RNA", at positions 524 to 776 of the family's 1533-position model. The record is from RNAcentral.